CUCUCUAGUUCUCAUUUAGAGAUGUAAUCUCUCUUCUUUUGUUUUUUUCUUUUUGCCUAAGAGAACAGCUCCUUUCCUCUGUCCUACUCGUCGGCUCCCUCUGCUUCAUAUGCACAGAGGGAGCCUUCCUUCUUACUGUUCCGAAGUUAAUUUUCCUCUCUUUUUCGUUAUUUUUCUUUUGUUUCUUAAUAAGUAGAUUCAGUGGAGAAAACGAGAGAGUUUUGAUAGAUGUGCUUUGUUUUUCAUGUUUUCUUAAUAGUUGAUUUUCGUGUGCAAGUUAGAAGAGGUUUAAAUGGAACUUGAUUUUUUAAUUUUCAUCUAUAUGCAUUAUAGUUUGGUGGCUGAAUCGAUUUCGUGCUCCUCUAUAUUCUCUAUCUAGCGAAGACUGGUAAGGCGGUGGCUAAUUGAAAGACGCAAGUGGGUCGCUUGGAGCGCACCUCCAUCACCUUUAUCUUUUAUGGAGCGGUUGAAAUCGUCUCAAUUUGAAAUUUCAGUGGUGUGCCCAAACUCAGACAACUAGAGGAAUGAGAGAAGCGAGCGCUAAUGGAUGGUUUUUUCGGAUCUUCUUCGAAUCCUAACCAUGGGUCAAAUUAAAUUUUUAGGGUUCCAUGUAUUUGAACUUCUAAUUUUUUUUUUUUUAUAUGAACCUCUAAAAUAUUGAUUUACCUCAUGUAUUCU
Long non-coding RNA from Manihot esculenta (cassava), 678 nucleotides. RefSeq lists it as uncharacterized. The record is from RefSeq and is a predicted model, not a curated record. NCBI's taxonomy places the organism in Eukaryota, Viridiplantae, Streptophyta, Magnoliopsida, Malpighiales, Euphorbiaceae. The transcript is spliced from 2 exons.